Lycium ferocissimum is the source of this 1888-nucleotide long non-coding RNA. RefSeq lists it as uncharacterized. The record is from RefSeq and is a predicted model, not a curated record. Lineage: Eukaryota; Viridiplantae; Streptophyta; Magnoliopsida; Solanales; Solanaceae. The transcript is spliced from 2 exons.
AUUCUAUAUUACUUGUACGACCACGUACGCUUGCGUGUACGUUUGGAAGUAACAUCACAUAAAAUAUGUCACCUCUUAAUUAUACACAUCAUCAUCAACUAGAAUAGACCUGAAGUUUUGUGGCUUAUUGAAGCUAAUGCAUAUAUUUAAAAGGAGGCGAUAUAUUUUAAAUGGUAACUUAUAUACAUAAUAAAUGCGUGGAAACGCGUGCAAUUUUUUUUCUAAAUUUUAAUCGAAACUAUCUAAUAGAAAUACCUUAUCAUAUUUUUAUGUGUUCAAUCAAAACAAUCCAUAAUUUUAGCAUUUUAAAAAAAUUCACUGAUAAAUUUAAAAAGUUAUCAAUGUAUUUCGCCUUCAAAAAAAUACAUUCAAAAUGUAAGAGAGAGAUACAUAGAGAUGACAGCUGUGCUCCUUAAUUCCUGAUGAUGCGCAUGUGAAGAGGAUUUAAGCUAAGUGAAUGUUCUCUGAUUAUCAGGUCCCUCGGACCCCUAUACCGACAAAUAGAUACCCCUCCGUCUCAAAAUAUUUGUCCCAUUUCUCAUUUACAUGCACAUUAAAAAUACAUUUAUAAAGGUAAAGAUUUUGACUAUUUUACUCUCCUAACAGAUUACAUCAUGUUCUCUCUCCUCAAUAAAUAUUUACUCCAUUAAUGAUGAAACCUCUUAAAUGUUGCAAUAUGAACUCACAAAAAUAGCUCAUUGAUGUAAUUAAUACAAGGGUGAAAAUGAGAAAAAGCUACUUAAUUUUAUCUUGAAUAAAACAACAAAUAUUUAUAGUAAGAACGACAAAUAUUUUGAGACGGAGGGAGUAUUAGACUUGUAUGUAUGAGAUUCAUCCACGGUAUAUCAUGGCUAAGGAUUGGCGGAAUAUAUUGGCACUCCCUUUAAUUUCAUGUCAAUAUAUUUCAACAUUCGAACUAUAAUUAAUUUGUUUCAAUUGGCCAGCUGAACACAUAAUUUAUAUUAGACAUUUCGACCAAACUUUGGAAAAACUUUAGCACGUGUUCUCAAGCAUCAAUUAGAUAGAUAAAUUAACCAUAUAACAUAUGUAACCUCUUUUAAUUAUAAACAUCAACUUCAAUUGGGACAAGCUUGAAGUUUUACGAUUUAUUGAGGGUAAUGUGUAUAAUUAGAGGAGUUGACUUGUUGAGGAUCUGUCGGAAACAACCUCUCUACCCUACAAAGGUUGGGGUAAGGUGGGCUUGCGUACAUUUUAUCCUCCCCAAACCCCACUUGUGGGAUUACACUGGGUAUGUUGUUAUUGUUGUUGUAACGUAUCUAUGUAAUGGACGCUUGAGAAUACACACAUAGACUUUAAGGAGAAAACAUUUAAUAGGAACACUUUAAUUAUCAUGCAUUCAAUUAAGCCGUACGUAGUUUGAGUGUCUAAAUAAAAUACUGUAAUAAAUUUAAGAGACCGUGGAUGUAUAUCCGCCCAGAAUUUUUACUUCAGUUUGAAAACGACUGGUUAAUGGGAAAUGAAAAAUAAAACGAGUUUAGAUUUUGGGCAAUCUUGGAAGGAAGUUGAUAGAGUUUCAAUGUCUGGGCAAAUUUCAUGGGUGGUAUCUAAACUUUGUUACUAAAUUUCGGUGAUUGGUAUAAUAGUACUUUUCAUUAUACAAUAUAAAUAUAUAGGUUAUAGGUAUAUGUAAUUACAAAAUAAAGUUUAGAUACUUAUGUGAAGAUAAUAUUAAUUUGGAUAACACCCAUAAAAUUUGUACUUCAAUGUCCCAUGACCCUGAACAGAUUGAAGUUAGUUUCACAUUGAUAAAGAAAGAGCACAAUAGCAAGAAUCAGAUGCUGUUGAGAUUUGUUCUCAUCUCUGGGAUUAUACAAAAUUACAAGGUAUUAACUCCAAAUGCAGCAAAAAAAAGACAUUUUUUUUUGUU